This 896-nucleotide ribosomal RNA is filed under the name Neonectria galligena. RNAcentral's name for it is "LSU rRNA". It matches the Rfam family "Eukaryotic large subunit ribosomal RNA", at positions 38 to 966 of the family's 3401-position model. The record is from RNAcentral. Lineage: Eukaryota; Fungi; Ascomycota; Sordariomycetes; Hypocreales; Nectriaceae.
GCAUAUCAUAAGCGGAGGAAAAGAAACCAACAGGGAUUGCCCUAGUAACGGCGAGUGAAGCGGCAACAGCUCAAAUUUGAAAUCUGGCCCCCGGGUCCGAGUUGUAAUUUGUAGAGGAUGCUUUUGGUGCGGUACCUUCCGAGUGCCCUGGAACGGGACGCCAUAGAGGGUGAGAGCCCCGUCUGGUUGGACGCCAAUCCUUUGUAAAGCUCCUUCAACGAGUCGAGUAGUUUGGGAAUGCUGCUCUAAAUGGGAGGUAUAUGUCUUCUAAAGCUAAAUAUUGGCCAGAGACCGAUAGCGCACAAGUAGAGUGAUCGAAAGAUGAAAAGCACUUUGAAAAGAGAGUUAAAAAGUACGUGAAAUUGUUGAAAGGGAAGCGCUCAUGACCAGACUUGGGCUUGGUUGAUCAUCCAGGGUUCUCCCUGGUGCACUCUUCCGGCCCAGGCCAGCAUCAGUUCGCUGUGGGGGAUAAAGGCUUCGGGAAUGUGGCUCCCUCGGGAGUGUUAUAGCCCGUCGUGUAAUACCCUGUGGUGGACUGAGGUUCGCGCAUUCGCAAGGAUGCUGGCGUAAUGGUCAUCAGCGACCCGUCUUGAAACACGGACCAAGGAGUCGUCUUCGUAUGCGAGUGUUCGGGUGUCAAACCCCUACGCGUAAUGAAAGUGAACGCAGGUGAGAGCUUCGGCGCAUCAUCGACCGAUCCUGAUGUUCUCGGAUGGAUUUGAGUAAGAGCAUACGGGGCCGGACCCGAAAGAAGGUGAACUAUGCCUGUAUAGGGUGAAGCCAGAGGAAACUCUGGUGGAGGCUCGCAGCGGUUCUGACGUGCAAAUCGAUCGUCAAAUAUGGGCAUGGGGGCGAAAGACUAAUCGAACCUUCUAGUAGCUGGGUUUCCGCCGAAG